RNAcentral lists this ribosomal RNA (253 nucleotides) under uncultured bacterium. Its description in RNAcentral is "partial 16S ribosomal RNA". It matches the Rfam family "Bacterial small subunit ribosomal RNA", at positions 524 to 776 of the family's 1533-position model. The record is from RNAcentral.
UACGUAGGCAGCAAGCGUUGUUCGGAGUUACUGGGCGUAAAGAGUGCGUAGGCGGCCAACUAAGUCAGACGUGAAAUCCCUCAGCUUAACUGGGGAACUGCGUCUGAUACUGGAUGGCUUGAGUUCGGGAGAGGGAUGCGGAAUUCCAGGUGUAGCGGUGAAAUGCGUAGAUAUCUGGAGGAACACCGGUGGCGAAGGCGGCAUCCUGGACCGACACUGACGCUGAGGAGCGAAAGCCAGGGGAGCAAACGGG